UUACUGUGUCCCAUUAGUGCCUUUUCAAUGUUCAGUCUUUUCUGGCUCAGGAGCCAGUCAUAAACUCUUUUCUUCCCUACAGGAAGCAGUUAUUGAAUGCCUAUGCAUGUUCCAGAGUCCAUAUGGGGGAGUUGCAUCUGGUAGAUCCUGCUGCGAAUGAUCAUCAGGACAAGGAUUUCGUUGAUGCUGGAACAGAGAUCCUCAGAGAUAGGCUUUUUGCAAGUGGUCCAGGAGCUCCUGAAUUCCUCAGUUGAUUGCAAUUAUACUUUUGGAAGAUUCUUCUGUUGCUAUGUUUUUUGGAGAAGAUGAUCACUGGCAGAAAGAUGAGCCCAACCUCUGGCCUGGCUUGACAAAAGACAUUUACCUGGAUAGAGUUGUUUGUACAAAACAGCUCCAUGGUGAAGAUGUUCUCCAUGAUAGUCUCUUUUGGAUACUUCCUCAUGCUGUCGAGGUUGUCCUGGGCUGCACUAGCAGAAGGCAAGCUCUGGAGGGCCCUUCCAAGUUGCAAAAUCUUCAAAUACUGGCCUGAUUUCAGAAUUAAUUUUCCUUGCCACCACCACAUCCUAUACUCCUAGACUGUACCUCCAAGCUGCCAAUGGAUGAAGGUUUUCUGCCUGUUCUCCCACGUCUCUUGGAAAAAGGAUGAACCUAUUCCAUCAUGCACCAGCCUCCUCCUACCUUUGAGCUAAAAGAAGAGAACACCAUUUCAUCAUACCAGGUCUUCUACCUGGUUUCCAACCUCCCAAGGGAAGAGGAGAAAUGUCAUUUCAUUGAGCAUCUGACUUCUUCCUUUCAGAGAAGAAGAGAAGAGCCAUUCAAUCAAGUCCCCAGAUUGAUCUCCUGCCAUGAAGGAAAGAAAGUAAUACCAUCCUUUCAGCUCCCACCAGUUGUGCCUUCAUCCAAACUAACUGGCCCUGAGAAAACUCCACCCUGAGGCCAAACCCUUAUGGACAAUGAACUUAUUUCUCAAUGACUAACAACUACCUCCUAGCCAUACUCUCCCUAAGCUGGUGAUUUUGAUCUCUAUUGCUGUCAUCAUUCAAAUCUAGUUCUCCAUCCUCUGCUGCCUGAUUCAUUAUUUCCAUUCCCCUCAAACCAACACCCCCACCACAUAACAAUCUAAAGCUACCAACCCUCUCCUCUAUACUCUCUAGAAUCCCUGUUCUGUGGGUAACAACUUUGCUUUUAUAUUAAAUCUACUCUCUCCAAAUUUACUGAUAAUAUCUUAAUGACCAAAUCCAAUGGCAUUUUCUCAGUCCUCAUUCUUCUUGACCCCUCUGUAGAAUUAGACAUUUAAAUUUCCCUCUACUCUUUGUUAUUCUCUUUUCACUAGGCUUUUAUGAUACUACUCUUUCCUGUUUCUCCUCCUACCUAUCUAACCACUUAUUCUUUGCUGAUCUUUAUCCAUAUCAUGCUAAUUAAGUCAUUAAUUGUGGGUGCCCUAUAGGGAUAUGUCUUGGGUCCUUUUUUUCUCCUUUGCAGGAUCUUCUUCCAAAUCACUCCCUCUAACCAUAGGUUUCCAUGAAGGUUCUGUCCUGGGCUCUCUUCUUUUCUCCCUCUGUAUUACUUCUCUUAGUGAUCUCAUCAGUUCCCAUGGAUUUAAUGAACAUCUCUGUGCUGAUGAUUCUCAAAUCUAACUUACCCUAAACUGUCUGGUGACCUGCAAUCUCAUCCCCAAAUGCCUUUCAGAUAUCUCAGACGACUGGUUCAGUAGACAUCUGGAACUCAAUAUGUCCAAAACAGAACUCAUUACCUUUACCCCCCAAAACCUCUGCCCCUCCUAACUUUUUUUUGACUGUAGAGGCCAACACAAUCUUCCCAGUCCCUCAGGUUCACAACUUACAUUUUCCUCAAUUUCUCACUAUCUCUCACCCCACUCCUAUAUCCAAUCCGUUUCCAAGGCCUGUCAUUUUCACCUUUGCAAUAUCUCUCAAAUACACUCCCUUCUCUCCUGACAGUGCCACACUCCAGUGCAGGCCCUGAUCCCCUGAUACCUGGAUUAUUUCAAUAGCCUUCUGGUAAAUAUGUCUGCCUCAAGUCUCUCCCCACUCCAAUCCAUCCUCCUUUCAG
Long non-coding RNA from Vombatus ursinus (common wombat), 2070 nucleotides. RefSeq lists it as uncharacterized. The record is from RefSeq and is a predicted model, not a curated record. The transcript has 5 exons. NCBI's taxonomy places the organism in Eukaryota, Metazoa, Chordata, Mammalia, Diprotodontia, Vombatidae.